UUCAGCCUUAAAAAAUAAAAAAAUUCUGUCACCUGUGACAAUAUGAGUUAAUUUGGAGGAUACUAUGCCAAGUGAAAUAAAGCCAAGCACAGAAAGACAAAUACCCCACAAUUUCAUUAUAUGUGUAAUCUAAAAAUGUUUAACUCAGAAGUGGAAUUAGGAAGUUAAAU
This is a long non-coding RNA of Sapajus apella (tufted capuchin), 170 nucleotides long. RefSeq lists it as uncharacterized. NCBI's taxonomy places the organism in Eukaryota, Metazoa, Chordata, Mammalia, Primates, Cebidae. The record is from RefSeq and is a predicted model, not a curated record. The transcript has 3 exons.